GUCCACGCCCUAAACGAUGUCAACUGGGUGUUCGGGAAGCGAUUCCUGGGUACCGUAGCUAACGCGUGAAGUUGACCGCCUGGGGAGUACGGCCGCAAGGUUAAAACUCAAAGGAAUUGACGGGGACCCGCACAAGUGGUGGAUGAUGUGGAUUAAUUCGAUGCAACGCGAACAACCUUACCUACCCUUGACAUGUCCGAGAGCCCGCUGAGAGGUGGGUGUGCCCGAAAGGGAAUCGGAACACAGGUGCUGCAUGGCUGUCGU
This 264-nucleotide ribosomal RNA is filed under the name uncultured bacterium. RNAcentral describes it as "partial 16S ribosomal RNA". It matches the Rfam family "Bacterial small subunit ribosomal RNA", at positions 793 to 1055 of the family's 1533-position model. The record is from RNAcentral.